UCUGACGGUGUGCCGGUGGGCGCGGGAAUACUGUGGGCUCGGGGGUUUGUCGGAUUUGAUGGGCGUAAAGGGUGCGUAGGUGGUGAGGUAAGUCGGAGGUGAAAUCGCCGAGCUCAACUCGGAAAUGGCAUUGGAAACUACCUUGCUCGAGGGUUGGAGGGGGGACUGGAAUACUUGGUGUAGCAGUGAAAUGCGUAGAUAUCAAGUGGAACACCAGUGGCGAAGGCGAGUCCCUGGACAACUCCUGACACUGAGGCACGAAAGCUAGGGGAGCAAACAGGAUUAGAUACCCGAGUAGUC
RNAcentral lists this ribosomal RNA (300 nucleotides) under uncultured Archaeoglobus sp. Its description in RNAcentral is "bacterial SSU rRNA". It matches the Rfam family "Bacterial small subunit ribosomal RNA", at positions 496 to 795 of the family's 1533-position model. Lineage: Archaea; Methanobacteriati; Methanobacteriota; Archaeoglobi; Archaeoglobales; Archaeoglobaceae. The record is from RNAcentral.